Molecule: ribosomal RNA, 460 nt
Filed under: uncultured bacterium
Lineage: Bacteria
Description: partial 16S ribosomal RNA
Rfam family: Bacterial small subunit ribosomal RNA
Source: RNAcentral
CCUACGGGAGGCAGCAGUGAGGAAUAUUGGUCAAUGGCCGGAAGGCUGAACCAGCCAUGCCGCGUGAAGGCCAGGGCCAUACGGGCGUUAAACUUCUUUUGUGCGGGAGCAAUAAUGGUCACGUGUGGCCAGACGAGAGUACCGUACGAAUAAGCAUCGGCUAACUCCGUGCCAGCAGCCGCGGUAAUACGGGGGAUGCAAGCGUUAUCCGGAUUUAUUGGGUUUAAAGGGUGCGUAGGCUGUGAGGUAAGUCAGCGGGGAAAUGCCCCCGCUCAACGGGGUGAAGUGCCAUUGAUACUGCCUUGCUGGAGUGCGGGUGCCGUGGGAGGAAUGUGUGGUGUAGCGGUGAAAUGCAUAGAUAUCACACAGAACACCGAUUGCGAAGGCAUCUCACGAAUCCGCGAUUGACGCUGAUGCACGAAAGCGUGGGUAUCAAACAGGAUUAGAUACCCUAGUAGUC